Molecule: small RNA, 29 nt
Filed under: Arabidopsis thaliana (thale cress)
Lineage: Eukaryota; Viridiplantae; Streptophyta; Magnoliopsida; Brassicales; Brassicaceae
Description: ATSL103540
Source: RNAcentral
ACCAACACUUUUUUCCUCUCGCUCUUCUU